This 74-nucleotide small nucleolar RNA is filed under the name Meriones unguiculatus (Mongolian gerbil). Lineage: Eukaryota; Metazoa; Chordata; Mammalia; Rodentia; Muridae. The record is from RNAcentral.
GGGCAGGCAUGUGUGGAGUUCUUCACCUGAAAUCACUGUACAGAGUGAAACAGAGUUUUUUAACCCUGAGUCAC